CCUACGGGUGGCAGCAGUGAGGAAUAUUGGUCAAUGGGCGAAAGCCUGAACCAGCCAAGUCGCGUGAGGGAUUACGGCCCUACGGGUUGUAAACUUCUUUUGUCAGGGAGCAAUUGAGUCCACGUGUGGUCUUAGCGAGAGUACCUGAAGAAAAAGCAUCGGCUAACUCCGUGCCAGCAGCCGCGGUAAUACGGAGGAUGCGAGCGUUAUCCGGAUUUAUUGGGUUUAAAGGGUGCGUAGGCGGAAUAGUAAGUCAGCGGUAAAAAUUCGGGGCUCAACCCCGUCGUGCCGUUGAAACUGGUGGUCUUGAGUGGGCGAGAAGUAGGCGGAAUGCGUGGUGUAGCGGUGAAAUGCAUAGAUAUCACGCAGAACCCCGAUUGCGAAGGCAGCAUACCGGCGCCCAACUGACGCUGAAGCACGAAAGCGUGGGGAUCGAACAGGAUUAGAUACCCUAGUAGUC
RNAcentral lists this ribosomal RNA (460 nucleotides) under uncultured bacterium. Its description in RNAcentral is "partial 16S ribosomal RNA". It matches the Rfam family "Bacterial small subunit ribosomal RNA", at positions 338 to 795 of the family's 1533-position model. The record is from RNAcentral.